Molecule: ribosomal RNA, 419 nt
Filed under: bacterium
Lineage: Bacteria
Description: partial 16S ribosomal RNA
Rfam family: Bacterial small subunit ribosomal RNA
Source: RNAcentral
UGGGGGAUAUUGCACAAUGGGCGAAAGCCGGAUGCAGCGACGCCGCGUGGGGGAUGAAGGCCUUCGGGUUGUAAACUUCUUUUGCUCUGAACAAGGCGCACCAUGGGGUGUGUUGAGUGUAGGGGUUGAUUAGCGCCGGCUAACUAGGUGCCAGCAGCCGCGGUAAUACGUAGGGCGCGAGCGGUGUCCGGAAUUAUUGGGCGUAAAGGGCUUGUAGGUGGCUGGUGGCGUCUGUCGUGAAAGCUCAUGGCUUAAAUGUUGGUUUGGUGUGGGUACGGGCUGGCUUGAGUGCAGUAGGGGAGGCUGGAAUUCCUGGUGUAGCGGUGGAAUGCGCAGAUAUCAGGAGGAAUACCGGUGGCGAAGGCGGGUCUCUGGGCUGUUACUGACACUGAGGAGCGAAAGCAUGGGGGGCGAACAGG